RNAcentral lists this ribosomal RNA (253 nucleotides) under uncultured bacterium. RNAcentral describes it as "partial 16S ribosomal RNA". It matches the Rfam family "Bacterial small subunit ribosomal RNA", at positions 524 to 776 of the family's 1533-position model. The record is from RNAcentral.
GACAGAGGUGCCGAGCGUUAGGCGGAAUCACUGGGCUUAAAGCGUGUGUAGGCGGACCGUUAAGUACCUUGUGAAAUCCCACGGCUCAACCGUGGAACCGCUGGGUAUACUGGCGGUCUUGAGGCACCCAGGGGCUGUCGGAACAAGCGGUGGAGCGGUGAAAUGCGUAGAUAUCGUCAGGAACGCCAACGGCGAAAGCAGGCUGCUGGGGAUGCAUUGACGCUGAGGCACGAAAGCCAGGGUAGCGAACGGG